This 840-nucleotide long non-coding RNA is filed under the name Equus asinus (donkey). Its description in RNAcentral is "lncRNA (ENSEASG00005035643.1)". Lineage: Eukaryota; Metazoa; Chordata; Mammalia; Perissodactyla; Equidae. The record is from RNAcentral.
GACAGAUGUGUUUCCUUCCCCAGAUGCUGAGGAGCUUCAAUUGUUCUGCAUAUGUAACGACUUUUUAUGGCUCCUUGCAAAUGCCUCUUCUGACUUUUAAAAAGGUGCCAAAGUCAAAUAUAGGUAGUUACUGUGAACGUUUUAGCAACAUCACCGGAAGCUCCAGCUGGCUAGAAAUCCUCUAUCAGAGGAUAAAUAGUAAGCAUACAUCCCUUUCCCAUUUCACAGAUUUACUCAGAAGAGCUUCUCUUGUAUCAUCUCGUUUGCUGAUGAGGAACACAAGAACGUAUUACAGACUACAGGAAACAGCAUGGUGGAUCCUCAAAAAAUUAAAAAUAGAUGACUACUACUGAACUGUACACUUAGAAAUUGGUCCCUCUUGGAAACCAGACUGUUGUAUCUCGAGAUUGCCUUUCCCCUGAGUAAAAGGAAAUCACAGGUGAGGGUUCUUCUGCAAGAAGAACAGUUUCAAAGCCUCUGAUUCUUGCCUGCUGGAAUAGCACGUGGUAGGACUGGCGCUGGGAGCAGGUCUAGACCAGUCCCAGCGGGCAGGAGACAGCACUCACUCAUCUGCAGGAUCCCAGCUCGUUCAACAAAAAAGCGAGAGUGGCAGAUGGAGGACAUGUUUUCAUCUUGUUGCAUCUUUAAACAGAUGGACCCUUUUUGAAAGACAUAAGCCCUGUUAUCAUUAAGAAUUAGAUCGUAGGAAAAAUAAAACUUAAAAAAUUCCAUACUUGACCAAUAAAGGGACUAACGCAGUAAUUCACACAGGGUUAAAAAGGACAUUUUUAGUCAUUUGAGAAAGCAUUACAAAAUGUGUAAAUCAAACUUACGUAUCCU